AUUUUCUUUUAUUUCUAUUCUUUCCUUCUUUUUACACACACCCUCGUUCCUUCACACACACACACACACACACACACACACACACACACAGUAUUUUGGAAAUAUAACACCUCGAUGAAAUAUGACACACCUACGCACACCCAGGAUAUAACAUGUAGACACAUUGUGAUAAAGAUUUUAUGCCAUGCAGAUACAGUUCCAUUGAGAAAUUCUCAGCAACUGAGAAGUGACGUGAUCCAAGUCACCACAAUUUUGAAGUCAGGUCCCCCAAGUACCUCAUCAAGUCAUUUCCCGUUUUCGGUGACACUCACCUGUCCCCUGUCCUAUAUGCGAACGGAAGAGCAAACACAAAUGCCCCAUUAUAGGCUACAGUAUUUGGAAAAGGCUCCAGAGUCCCUUAGUGACGACAACCCUAAAUUCCUUCAGGGCAGGACAGAACUUGAGGCAUCCACCGUGUCAAGUACAGAGGGUGAAUGAACGCUCGACUCACAGAACGAUCCCAGACGGUGUUGCUCGUGACAAAAUCUGCUGAUGAUUGGAGGUCUAUGGAAAAGUGAGAUGUGAAGCGAACUGGCUGUAUUCCUCAUGGAAGCAGAGGAAAGGCUGACAGGCAUGGAAGAUGAUGGAAGAAAAAGGAGGGGUUUACCAAUAAAUAAGGAUACAAAUAUGGGAAAACGUUACCUUGUAUCCUGCACACAAGAUCAACGUCGAACCAACGUCUGUUAGACUGCUGUACACCUGUAAAUGGAUAUUAAGCAAGUUGAUUACUUUGUAGGAACAACAUAACAUCGUCAGGUAUUUGCAAUAUCUGUCUGUAAACUACCUGGGUUUAAUAAAUGAGCCGGACUUGCUUACGUGUCACGUGCACACGUGAGACUCAUGAGCUGCGAGACGUAAGGAAAUAUGACAAUGAUGUAGUACGUAUUUGAGCUUAAAAAAUGUUUACUUGCACAUAAAACCAUGUAUAGAUACAUUUGUUGUAAUUAUUUACCUUAAUUAGUGAAAUUGUGUAGACGAGAUGCACAUGAACGCUUGUGUUGAGUCGUGUUGCUUUAGUUCUCAAAGACAUGAAGGCAAACACAUACUGAUUUAAUCUUAUUUGUUCUAAUUAAAUCAUAGCCUAUAUGUAGCUUCAAAUGGAUUUGUUGUGACUGUGAUAAUAAGAACUUGUGCGUAACGCGAGCGUCUGCAGACUUGUGUGAAAAUUACAGGCGCGAGUUUUAGCUUGUGGUGCUUUAUAAUUGUUAGGGUUACAUAUUCGUGAGAUCUUAAUAGCUUGUUUAACAUGUUGAAUGGAGCUGCAGACGGAGAGUUGGAGCUGUCAGGCGUUUUCUGUGCACGCUCUGCUGCUGCUGACGUAUCACUCCCACGGCCCAAGUGAGUUUAGGACUCAAAUAAUGCUGUGUUCUAUUAGUUCUUUAGCUAAAUAUGUUUAUUAUAUCGUAUAUGUGUAAUAAGGUUUCAUAACUAGUGUUUAGGGAGCAUUUUGAACACAGUAAAUGUGAAAUAUGACUUGUUGGGACUGGGAGUUAUCAAAGGGUCAAAUGGGUUGGGUCCUGCGGGGGGGCGGGGGGGGGGGGUAUGAUGUCGAAAUUAUAUGUUUUAAAGUUUGUCUAAGCAAAAGAUAAUUAAGUAAAAUAUCUAUAUUUUGCAUCAGUUAUUAUUUUGUAGUAUAUAAAUUACAAAAAAAUAAAUAUAAUAACUGAUAAUGCACUAUGUAGCCUAGCUAUCGGAUUGCUUGUGCCUUACGUAACUUUUAUUUUUAUUGCUUCAUAAUUAUAGUAUUUUCUGCUUUGCUGUUACUGUAUAUCAUACAACCCAAAACGUGCUUAACAGUUUGAGCUGAACUGAGUAAUUUGAGUAAAGUGUGGUUGCUGCAGUGUGCACGACGUGAGAGCGUAACGUGCGAGUUCUGCAUUUCUGAGUAUUUGAAUGACAUUUCUGUAUAGUGCACAGAGAAAAAUAUGCUGCAUUAACUAUUCGACCCUGACUAAUUGUUUAGCUAUUUCAUUACAUGAAACAAGAUGUGCAUGUGGUGUGAGAAAUAUGUGAUUUGAUUAUGUUGCAAAAUCUAAAAGCUGGAAGUUUGUCGUUCAGGUGACAAAGAAAAAAAAAAUGACUCACGUAUUUUGUAAUCAAACUGCUGGCUUUCUGUAUUCUCUAUUACAUGUCAGAGAAAAUAAAAUGUUUGGAGUUAUUUUAGAGUCUGCUUGCUUAUUUGUAUGUUUUUAAGUGUGGGGGGAUCUGGAAAAUGAACACUAUGGCUACUAUAUGUGACGUGCUGAAAACACUUGUGUGUGUUUAGAGCCUGUAGGAUAUAUAAAAUAAAAAAGUCAAAUGUAGCGCGAGGGAGGCAAUGCAUAGAAAGAAAGGUUUCCACAGCCAGAGUAGCCUAUCUUACAAUUAAAAUUACAGACAUUAAAAUGUUUUUCUUGACGACGCCAAUGCUUUUUUCUACUAAACAGCAUGUGGUUUACAUGUUACGUGUGUUACUUGAAUUAUUCACGCAUCGGUGGG
This is a long non-coding RNA of Cyprinus carpio carpio, 2517 nucleotides long. The record is from Ensembl. Lineage: Eukaryota; Metazoa; Chordata; Actinopteri; Cypriniformes; Cyprinidae.